GAUGAGUAACUUUAGUAAUUAAUACCUAAAAAUCAUUAGUUUAAUUUUAAAAAUGAGUAGACAUUUAGUCUUGGACUGCAAUAAUUACAUUAAUAUGUACUGUUUGUGACAGACGGAUAACUGUAGUGUUUCACGUUCAUUGAAUCUGAACAGAUUUGUUGUAGUUUUGUACAUUGAGUCUGAAAACUGCGUUUUGUGGAUUUUGUGGAACUCUUAAGGAAAUACAGAAGCCUAAAGGAAAUUAAUUCUUGUCAUCCAUAGGUACACCAAAAUGUCUUCAGUUCUUUCAGAACUAACUAUAUUUAUAUCUAUAGAUUCCUAAUAAAUACACUUAUUAGGAAAUUGGUUGACAUGCCCAUGCACAUUUGAAUUGCCUUCGUACUGCACAUGUAGUUGUAUGCACUUUACUCAUCUACUCUUAGUUGGAUAGGUCAUCUUUCAUUCUCUGUGCAGUGAAUAUCUUACAGGAAAAUACUUGCUGUCAG
RNAcentral lists this long non-coding RNA (485 nucleotides) under Bos taurus (domestic cattle). Its description in RNAcentral is "long non-coding RNA NONBTAT025372". Lineage: Eukaryota; Metazoa; Chordata; Mammalia; Artiodactyla; Bovidae. The record is from RNAcentral.